Molecule: ribosomal RNA, 803 nt
Filed under: uncultured Pelagibacteraceae bacterium
Lineage: Bacteria; Pseudomonadati; Pseudomonadota; Alphaproteobacteria; Candidatus Pelagibacterales; Candidatus Pelagibacteraceae
Description: bacterial SSU rRNA
Rfam family: Bacterial small subunit ribosomal RNA
Source: RNAcentral
CGCUGGCGGCACGCCUAACACAUGCAAGUCGAACGAAGUAGCAAUACUUAGUGGCAGACGGGUGAGUAACAUGUAGGUAUCUGCCCUUUGGCCUGGAAUAACACGAGGAAACUUGUGCUAAUACCGGAUAAGUCUUUACGGAGAAAGCUUUAUGCACCAUUGGAUGAGCCUGCACUUGAUUAGUUUGUUGGUGGGGUAAUGGCCUACCAAGACUGUGAUCAAUAGCUGAUUUGAGAGGAUGAUCAGCCACAUUGGGACUGAGACACGGCCCAAACUCCUACGGGAGGCAGCAGUGGGGAAUCUUGCACAAUGGAGGAAACUCUGAUGCAGCGAUGCCGCGUGAGUGAAGAAGGCCCUUGGGUUGUAAAGCUCUUUCGUCGGGGAAGAAAAUGACUGUACCCGAAUAAGAAGGUCCGGCUAACUUCGUGCCAGCAGCCGCGGUAAUACGAAGGGACCUAGCGUAGUUCGGAAUUACUGGGCUUAAAGAGUUCGUAGGUGGUUGAAAUAGUUGGUGGUGAAAUCCCAGAGCUUAACUCUGGAACUGCCAUCAAAACUUUUCAGCUAGAGUAUGAUAGAGGAAAGCAGAAUUUCUAGUGUAGAGGUGAAAUUCGUAGAUAUUAGAAAGAAUACCAACUGCGAAGGCAGCUUUCUGGAUCAUUACUGACACUGAGGAACGAAAGCAUGGGUAGCGAAGAGGAUUAGAUACCCUCGUAGUCCAUGCCGUAAACGAUGUGUGUUAGACGUUGGAAAUUUAUUUUCAGUGUCGCAGGGAAACCGAUAAACACACCGCCUGGGGAGUACGA